GUAGGCUGUGUAACUGCAGAAUGUAAUAGAAACUGAAAGUGUAGAUGCAGUAGAAGCAGCUUUCAUUUCAAUACUAGUAUCCUCAAUUCUUUGGAAGACCAUCAGAGAAAAGAAGACAGUAUAACAGAGGAAAUUUUCAGUGCAGCAGAACAUGUCACCAAUCUAACACAGGCAUUUGAUAUGGAUGUCCACAGUGCUACACAGACUACAAGAAAGCUUCAGUUCAAGAACGGAGAAAUAUGAGUCAAAGAGAGAAAAUUUUGGAAGGCUGAUGAUGACUGAUGUCAAGGCUUGAAUGGCAGAAAUCGGACCACCUCUACUUUACUUUACUCUGGUUGCCACUAUUUUGCCCGAUAUAAUUGUGUAGAAAAAAUGUGUGAAAGGUAUUUUGAUCAUUAGUUCCUGGAUCUAUAACUGGACACAUACUGCAGCUUUUCUACACAGACCUGAUACUCACCUCUGCUGCUGGGCACGACUAAAGGUGACAGAAAAACUGUUUCCUUUGAGCACUGACUUGAUCUUUGGGAUCUCUCCACCACAAGCCUCAGCCAAUGAUUGAAACUCACUGUUCACUCUUGCAUACCAGCAUUUUCUGGCAAAGGGUGAGAAAACAUCUGUAUUUGAACAAGUGUCCACUUGGAUGGAGUGAAGCGUCGAUUUGAGCCUUGUCUCACCAUGACAGAUAUCAAAGCAUUGUCUAAUCUACUUGGAGGAAAAUACUGCUUGUCUUUGGUUGCAUUUGGGGAGAUCAUGGCCAAGAAAAGGAAGACCAGAAAUUUUCAAGAGUUAUACACCAAGUAUAAAAGGAAGUCCGACUCCGUCCCACUGCUACGGUACCUCAGAAUUUUACUGUAAGUCCCAUUAUUGGUAAUGCCUCAUACAUUUGAUGUUGUGAAAAUAGUGGAAAGAAGACAUGGUUUCACUACUGAGAAGGGAGGAUGAAGUUUACAGAUAGAGAGGGAGCACUGGAAAUCCUGGAGGUUUCAGGCAAGUAUUCAGCAUGUUUUUAGAUGCCAAAUUAGUAGCUGAUAAUCAAGUUAUUUGAUUAUAUUCAAUUUUAGUAAAAUUUAUUAAAUACUGCAAUAUUUCUAAAAUACUAAAGAAAGUUUUUCAGAUGACAUAUUUUCAGAAAGGAAAGACACAGACUUCAGGUAACACAGUAAAAAAUAAAUAAAUCACAUUAUCAGUGGAAAAUCCUAAAGGAACAUUCAAACUUGCUUUUUCUAUACACAACAAAAGAACCCAUACUACUUUAAUCUGGGGUUGUAUUGGUUUCAGUUUGCUCCAGUGAUGGAUAAGGAUGUGAUUUUUUGUGACAAAUAUGAAAUUUCUUGUAGGUAUUUUAUAUAAAAGCAUGGAGAUGUGACAAGAAACUUAAUAGGUAUUCAGGCCACAGGAGAAGUUUCAUCUGGCUUUGAACCACAUUUUCUUCAGUAGGAGUGUACUACACUCAUCUCUGAAUGAGAUUUAGUUAUUUUGUGAACAGAUUAUAAUAUCAUCAGAGUAAGCAUGACAAAUGCUCCAAUUUGAGCAGGAAUUGUAUCUGAAUGUUGAAAAUCCCUUCCCAGGCAUUGUCUCUGGAUUUCUACUUUCUUAACUGUGUUCAUUAUGAAAAAUACACGAAACAUCAUCAAGUUGAUAUUUUAAUAAAAAUAUGGAAAGAAAGGCAAGAAGGAAAGGUAUUCAAUUAAAAUUCCUGUGUGAAAAGGCUUCUUCCCUAUAAACACACAGACACACAUGUGUACCUAUCCCCGCCCUCCCACUUCUACAGCAAAGAAUUCUGCAUUUUUCUCAGACUCUCUCUAGUACAAAUUCCUCAUGGAAGAUUUAACAAAUAUUGUGUUUUAUCAGGUGCUCCUAAAAAGUAUUUACUGUAAAAUCUCUGUAGGAUGCAUCAUGCACAUGUAGUCUGAAAGCACUGAGUCCAGUGCAACAAAGGGAAAAGUGGAGGUAUUUGCUGACAGAAAAAAUUCUUUCACAAGGAAAUGCAAAUGAAAAAUUGAUACUUUUUUAUCAGGUCUCAAGUGUAUGUAACUGAGUCUUAUUCCAGCAAAAGAAUGGUGAUAACCCAUAAAGCUUUCAAGAGAAAUGAGAAGAGGAGGUAAUGUAAAGAGAAUAGAAAUAUAUUUUGCACCUUGAUUAGGUUCAUUUUUGAGGCAUUAUAUAUGACAUUAACCGACUUGUUAAAGCUCUCAAAUUUGGUAUUAUGAGGUAUUCCUAAGACUUAUGAUUAGUGAUUGUGGCCUUAAAAUGUCCUUGAUCUGUGCACACUUACUAUUUCUUUUAGCCUGUGUGCCUACCUUGAUGAGAUUCUCCACUAGUAUUUUUGUUGUUCUCAUUUUUGUAUUUUGUGAAACUAUUCACUGGUGUAAGUCUGAAGCAGAGCUCUUAGUCUGAGCCACAUUGCUUGUUUUCUAUAAUUUUUAAUUUUAUUUGGCUUUGUCCUUUCAUUUAACAGUUUGUCCUCGUAUAGUAGCUGUCGGCAACAAGAAAGUUCUACUGAAGUUGCAAAAUUUAAAUGAAAAUUUGUACUAGGGAACAGUGGCUGAAAGUCUGGAGUGUCAGUUGGACUGUUUUCAUUGUGGUCACAUUAUAAAACAUGAGUUAUAAAAACUAAUUUUUGUUAACAGACAUGAAACAUGGCUGAAUUCCUCUUAAGAAUGUUGCAUAAACUUAGUUGUCCUGUGUAAAAUUCAGCUCAGUCACCCAAACUCUAUUUAUGUUUUGGCUAAGUUCAUGUGAUAAACAAAAUUAUGGCUUUCUAUAUUCACUAUGUAAAUUGUAUUUCCAUUUGUAAAGAUGCUUUGAUUAACUGUUUGGUGAAA
Molecule: long non-coding RNA, 2825 nt
Organism: Cuculus canorus (common cuckoo)
Lineage: Eukaryota; Metazoa; Chordata; Aves; Cuculiformes; Cuculidae
Exons: 7
Source: RefSeq, a predicted model, not a curated record